AUGCUUGGAACUGCUGAGUCCUCUGACGAAGAAGAUGAUGAUAGCGAGGAUGGCGAUCAUCAUAUGAAGGCGGAGAACUCAAAACCUAUAUCCGGCGAUGAUCUUGGUGAUUCCUUCUCUUUUGACGAGCCAACAAAAAGGAAAAAAGGUUGGGUUGACGAAAUUUACGAGAAUGAGGCUAGAAAGAUAGGUGAAGGUGUAGCAUCUGGCGAUGAAGGAAGUGAUGACAGUGGUGAGGAUGAGGAUGAGGAUGAAGAAGAAGAUGCUGGUGAUGAAGAGGAUUCAAGUGAUAAUGACUUCCGUAAUAUGCCGGCAAGGGACUGGGAGCAAAGUGAUGACGGUGAGGCUGUUGUAGAAGAAGAUGAAAAGGAUGAUGUCAAAGAUAAAGAACAAGUUAUUGGUAACAAAGUUAUUAAAACAAAUGCACAAAAUUUGAAGAGAGUAUCUAACACAAAGCAAAACCGCAUGGCAAGGAUGAAGAUCAUCCUUCGUGAUAGAAGCACCAAAUAA
RNAcentral lists this ribosomal RNA (510 nucleotides) under Triticum aestivum (bread wheat). RNAcentral's name for it is "partial small subunit ribosomal RNA". The record is from RNAcentral. Lineage: Eukaryota; Viridiplantae; Streptophyta; Magnoliopsida; Poales; Poaceae.